This 253-nucleotide ribosomal RNA is filed under the name uncultured bacterium. Its description in RNAcentral is "partial 16S ribosomal RNA". It matches the Rfam family "Bacterial small subunit ribosomal RNA", at positions 524 to 776 of the family's 1533-position model. The record is from RNAcentral.
UACAGAGGUCCCAAGCGUUGUUCGGAUUCACUGGGCGUAAAGGGUGCGUAGGUGGUCGGGUAAGUCUGAUGUGAAAUCUCUGGGCUCAACCCAGAAAUGGCAUUGGAUACUAUUCGGCUAGAGGAGUGGAGGGGGGACUGGAAUACUUGGUGUAGCAGUGAAAUGCGUAGAUAUCAAGUGGAACACCAGUGGCGAAGGCGAGUCCCUGGACACUUCCUGACACUGAGGCACGAAAGCUAGGGGGGCAAACAGG